UACGAAGGGGGCUAGCGUUGCUCGGAAUCACUGGGCGUAAAGGGUGCGUAGGCGGGUCUUUAAGUCAGGGGGGAAAUCCUGGAGCUCAACUCCAGAACUGCCUUUGAUACUGAGGAUCUUGAGUUCGGGAGAGGUGAGUGGAACUGCGAGUGUAGAGGUGAAAUUCGUAGAUAUUCGCAAGAACACCAGUGGCGAAGGCGGCUCACUGGCCCGAUACUGACGCUGAGGCGCGAAAGCUAGGGGAGCAAACAGG
Molecule: ribosomal RNA, 253 nt
Filed under: uncultured bacterium
Lineage: Bacteria
Description: partial 16S ribosomal RNA
Rfam family: Bacterial small subunit ribosomal RNA
Source: RNAcentral